CGGUCGUCAACAUAGUUCGAUAAGUUAAGGAGCUAAGUAUUCCAAAGCUUUGUCCAAACGGGCUCCUUUAUUGGAGAUGGCAUCUUCUCAGCAUUUAUGCCACGUGGAAUAAUGUUCAGGAGGUGAAGCUGCAAUCGCAGAAACAGCUCCUUUCAACAAUCCCGGAUGCAUCCAUCCCCUACACUGGCCUCAGGGGUUGCUUUGCUUACACCAAGGGAGGGCUUUGUUGUCACAGUUCCAGAUCCAGGCAUGUCAUCACCUGGGUUGUUAUCACUUCCCUGGACAUGGAUAAUUAAAAUCUCUCAAUACUAAAAAGGAUGAGGUGAGUUAAGUUGCAGAGAAUGUAUGAACAUACACUUUCCUCAAAGUUUGGUUGUAGUGGACGCUCAUCGUGGUCUGAGAGAUGCUCUUGUUAAGUAAAGUUGAAUGCCGACAGCUUUAACUGGAAAGUGUAUGUCCUCCAAACUAAAUCCUUGAGACAUUCUGGAAGGG
RNAcentral lists this long non-coding RNA (492 nucleotides) under Brassica napus (rape). RNAcentral describes it as "long non-coding RNA (BNAP_LNC004956)". Lineage: Eukaryota; Viridiplantae; Streptophyta; Magnoliopsida; Brassicales; Brassicaceae. The record is from RNAcentral.